Molecule: non-coding RNA, 3195 nt
Organism: Pelobates cultripes (western spadefoot toad)
Lineage: Eukaryota; Metazoa; Chordata; Amphibia; Anura; Pelobatidae
Source: the annotation of a GenBank genome assembly
CAGAUUUCCAGGGAUAGGAGCAGUAUAAUUUAACGUGACCUAGAUUUUAUGAUAAUGAAUCCUAUUUGUUUGUUGCCAUUUCUCUAUGUGUAGGAGCUCUGCAUUUUGCUUUUGGCAACACAUUUACUGGGUGAUGAGAUGAGCCUCUUGAAUUGGUUGGGAUUUGCAGUCUGUAUCUCAGGAAUUGCUCUUCACGUUGCUCUGAAGACCAUCCACGGCAAAGGUAAUCUACAUGCUAGCAGAUUUAAAUACACCAUGAAAGAGAGUAUAGCGCUUCUUUUUUUCGGAAAGGGAUUUUGCAAUGCCAUUUAAAAAAAUAAAUAAAUAAAUAAAUCACUAAGAGGGACACUUUAUGCACCAUAACGUUUACAGCUUAUUGGCAUGAUUAUGAUUCACACGAUCUUUGUGUGAUGUCUGAUUUUCCUCUCUAGUCGGUCCUCUCACCUCACCAAUCUGUCAGUCCUUACAUUGGCUCCCUGUAUCCUAUGGGAGUAAAUUCAAAGUGCUAACCCAUACAUAUAAAGCACUGAACAAUUCUAGCCCCUCUUAGAUCUCUUCACAGAUCCGUAGGUAUGCCCCUUCUCGGUCCCUCUGCUCUGCCCGUGACCUUCUCCUGUCCACUGCUCGCACCUAUACAGCCAACUUGCAUUUGCAGGACUUCUCGCGGGUGGCUCCCUUCCUAUGGAAUAGCCUGCAGACUCUCCCCUAGUCUUUAAUCGUUUAAGAAGUACCUUAAAACCCAUCUCUUUAGGAAAUCUUAUGGCCUCCCAGAGUAACCUCUACCUGUCUCUUGCUCUCUCCUAAAGGGCAGCACUCUACUCUCUCCUCCAGCUCUGCUUCACUCCCACCUUAUGUGAUUGCCAUUUCCUGUCCUAAUGUGUCUUAUACCCCACCACCUAUAGACUGUAAGCUCGUUUGAGCAGGGUCCUCUUCAACAUAUCGUGCCUGUAAGUUUUCUUGAAAUUGUCCUAUUUAUAGUUAAAUCCCCCCUCUCAUAAUAUUGUAAAGUGCUAUGGAAUCUGUUGGUGCUAUAUAAAUGGAGAUACUAAUAAUGUCUGCCUUCCCUUUUUCAAACACUUCAAUAGAAACUAGGCAACAAAUGCCCAGCUCUUUGUCUGCACUUUAGAGAAUAUGAAACUUUGAGUCCCAGAUUAUCUACAAACCUGUUCAAACUGGGGGAGCAAUGAUGGGCUAAACCAAGCUUUGGACAAAUAACUUUUUUUUUUUCAUGCACACGUUUUGAUGAGGGGGUGAUAGAAACACCCCAAAGUAUCUUUGAACCAUAGCCAUUUCAAUAAACUAUAGUUAUGUUGCGGAGUGUUAAUUUUUUUUAAAAUCUAUUUUACAGCAGAGUAAUACAUAAACAGUGAUUUGAUAUUCCCUCUGUUCUUGUUUCUCUUGCCUCCACAGGAGCAGAUACUCAUAAAUGGCACAGAACAGAGCUAAGUGCAGAUAUGGAACUGUUGUUGAUGGGACGAGAGGAUGAAGAAGACGAGGAUUCCUAAUAGCUGAACUAGAUGGGAACGAACGUUUGUAAUAAGAAGCAAUCACCCACUUACUGUGAGGCAAAAGACAGAUUCAGAGAGCUGGACUCUCUCUGGUCUCCCAAGUCCAAAGGGUUUAUAGAACACGUGGAGAAGAUGCCAAUUCCUUCUACAAGUUACCUUAUGCUGUACAGUCAGGGGAAGUAUUUGCAUCACCAGAAGUGCAUGAUACAGAUAGCCGACAUGAGACAGUCUUAAGCUGACGUUAUCCUGUAUCAUUUUCCUGGAAGCUAGUUGCAAAUAUGUAUUUUAGUUAUAAUACAUUCCUGAUGUUGAUACUAUGGCAGUUCUGGAACUGUCUGUCAUUUUUAGAAGUGGAAGGAGAUUCAAAGAAAUGGUACAAUAAAAUUAUUUAGGCCUAUUUCAGAACUACAGAAAUUUAUAUAAUUUUUUGUUUUAGAUGUCUACUUGAGUAAUGAUUUUUUAUUUUUUUUGUGCACCUAUAUUAGAACUUGUCACCCAUUUCCCCAUGAGGAAUCUGUGCCUAAACCAUAACAAUCCAAUUAGGAGCACCAAACGCAGAACAUCUCAUCUGAUUUUUAAAUUUAUACAUAAACUCCAUAUGACCUGUUCACAUCUAUUUUUUUUAAAAUCUUUUAUUAUCCUAAAUGGAACAUGGAGCCGCUAUUACUAAUGAUCACUUGUUCAGGUGGUGGAGGGUAUUUAUUGCAGAAAAAUAUAUUUAUGAAAAAUCAAAUAAUCAAAAAACAUUAUUAUUUGUGGUGACAAGGGAUUGAAAAUACUUUGAAUUACACUUAAAGGAUCACUAUAGGCACCCAGACCACUUCAGUUUAAUGAAGUGGUCUGGAUGCCAGGUCCAUCUAGGAUUAACCCUGCCUGCUGUAAACAUCGCAGUUUCAGAGAAAUUGCUAUGUUUACACAUGGCUUAAUCCAGCUUCUAGUAGCUGUCUCAUUGACAGCUGCUAGAGGCGCUUCUCACUGUGAUUUUUCACAGUGAAAGGAUGCCAGCGUACAUAGGAAAGCAUUGAAACUGCUUUCCUAUGGACUGACUGAAUGCGCAUUUGGCUGAUGACGUCCAAAGGAGGAGGAGAGUUCCCAACGCCGAGGGAGUCUGGCGCUGGAGAAAGGUAAGAUUAUAAUCCCUUCCUACCCCUUCAGCCCGGCAGGAGGGGGGCCCUGAGGGUGGAGGGGACCUAUUAAUACUAUAGUGCCAGGAAACCGAGUUUGUUUUCCUGGCACUAUAGUGGUCCUUAAACUUACAAAUGAAGUAAAAGAAACAGAAUGAUUGCAUAUUUCUUGUGUACAUUAAACAAGGAAUAUGCAUUUAAAAAAAAAAAACAAAAAACAAUCAAAAUAUUUGAACCAUUUACAUAACACUCUAGAAAUGCUUGAAAGGUUAGAAAACUAAAAAAUCCACAAUCAAUUUAAAGAGGCAUAUUGGAAAAAGAAAAGGAAAUGAACACCGAAAUUAAAGGAAGAUGAGCAAAAUAAUAAAUACACCUAAGGUUCAAGAGUUCAGAAAGGCAUGAUGCUUGUAAAUGUUGCCCCCUGUACCUGCUUCAGUGUUUAUAGCACAGGGAGUGGAAUGCAUUGACACUUAUAGACGGCAGUAGUUCUACUUCGUGUCUAAGAAAGUCAGGCAUAGGAUAAAUACAUUAGACAAAGUAGCCUCAUGAUGAAUAGAUUGGAG